This is a long non-coding RNA of Cygnus olor (mute swan), 1550 nucleotides long. RefSeq lists it as uncharacterized. The record is from RefSeq and is a predicted model, not a curated record. The transcript is spliced from 2 exons. Lineage: Eukaryota; Metazoa; Chordata; Aves; Anseriformes; Anatidae.
CACACGGAAAAGCAGGAGAGCAAAAGAAACCUUUGCCCGGGCCCUCCCUCUGCAGGCACAGCCGCACGCGGGCACCCCAACAGCACCGCAAGGCUGCCAGGGGCGCGGCUGCUCUGCAAGCUCGAAUCGUGCCCCCCCCUUCCUCUUGGCUACCCCAGCCCUGGCCGCACCCUCCCCAUGCAGCGCCAGGGGCCGGUGAGACCCCGGCCAGAGCCAGACACGACAUUUCCCGGGGGUCAGAGGAGCGCAGGGCAGGGCAGCGGCCUUACCGCGACCAGGCGAAGGAGCUCUGCAAAGGCUCCCCCCUCUCCCGUCCCCAUUAGGUGCAGAAUGGGCCCAUCGCAGCCCGUCCCACGGCGUAAAAGCCCUCGUGUACCCGUACAGAUCGACGUGGGACGCACCGGAGCAGCCUCACCUCCAGCGUGAGCUCCAGAACAGGGCGAGCCCCGAGGAUGAGUCACAUCCCGAAGGGCUGCAGCCCUGCCCGUACCUGCAACAGCCCCCGGCGCUUGUGCCCCCUUUCCAUGCAGCCCCGGCGGGUUCCUGGGGACAGGUUCUCUCCCACCCGCAGCCACCUCGCUGAGCAGCGCUCCCGUCAGCGCGGAGCAGCAACGUUGCACAAGAUUUCCAGCCACCACCACGCUGGCACCGCCCGCCGUCCCACCCAGCUCUUAUCUCAGCUUUGCCUCCACAAUUGCAGGGCUGCUCAGCAGCAGGUGACUUGCUGAGGCGGUUCCUUCCAUACAAGGGAGCCAAAGAUUUUUGGGGGAAGAUUCUGUAUUGCCUGGCAUAACCCAAGCCACCCUCAUCACAACAAAAACAUGAAAAGAUGAGGGAGGAAAAUAACUCAGAACAUUAACCAAAGGGGCAAGAGCCAUCUCAUGUUCCCAAAAUUCUGGGAGAAAGAUGAGUCUGCAGAACUGACGUUUGUCACCAGCUUGCUUCUGCCCAAGUGUUAUCCUGUCCCUAUUUCUCAAUUUUAAAAACACCAGACACCAAAAAUGUGUAAUUAGGGUGCCACAGAGAAGCAUGAGUUAUGUCUGAAAAAGCACAUGUUACUUUGGUGACUCAUUUGGGCACAGGAACUCGAGGUGGAUUGUGGAAGCUGUCUCCCGUUUCAGAAAGCAAAUACCUGGUUCAACCUUGGAACCCAAAGCCCACACCUUUCAGGCAAGGAGAAGGGAGAGAGGAAAAAAAAAACACAAGCCAAACUUUUUUUCCUGGUUUAUUGUGGCAAACAUCAGUGACACUCAAUUCUCAGAGGCAAUUUGCUAACUCCAUGCUGUUCAGACAUCGUGCAGCAAACCUCCCCCUUUGAACCAGGUCAGCCACUUGAGUUUAAACCUGCUUCUGAAGAAGUUGUUACUCCCGACAACGGCACGUUACCUCACAUCUCAGCCUGCCGACACUCAGCACUUUAUGGAUCUCCAUCUCUGAGCUUCAUUCUUUGUGCACCACUUGGAAAUCAUUUUUUUUUUCCAGGGAAAAAAAAAAUAAAUCUUGCUUACCAAAGAAUUACAGUAGAAAUCAGACUGGUUACAAGGACCUUG